This 68-nucleotide transfer RNA is filed under the name Typhlatya miravetensis. RNAcentral describes it as "tRNA-Cys". The record is from RNAcentral. Lineage: Eukaryota; Metazoa; Arthropoda; Malacostraca; Decapoda; Atyidae.
GGCUUUGUAGUGGAAAAAAGACGCCAAGCUGCAAUCUUGGAGAUGUAAUGUGUUUGUUACCUUAGCUU